GAGGGUAUAGCUCAGUGGCAGAGUGCCUGCUUAGCAUGCACAAGGUCCUGGGUUCAAUCCCCAGUACCUCCA
This is a transfer RNA of Camelus ferus (Wild Bactrian camel), 72 nucleotides long. It matches the Rfam family "tRNA". From Rfam's summary of the family: Transfer RNA (tRNA) molecules are approximately 80 nucleotides in length. Lineage: Eukaryota; Metazoa; Chordata; Mammalia; Artiodactyla; Camelidae. The record is from Rfam.